GACGAACGCUGGCGGCGUGCUUAACACAUGCAAGUCGAACGGAAAGGCCCUGCUUUUGUGGGGUGCUCGAGUGGCGAACGGGUGAGUAACACGUGAGUAACCUGCCCUUGACUUUGGGAUAACUUCAGGAAACUGGGGCUAAUACCGGAUAGGAGCUCCUGCUGCAUGGAGGGGGUUGGAAAGUUUCGGCGGGUGGGGAUGGACGCGCGGCUUAUCAGCUUGCUGGUGGGGUAGUGGCUUACCAAGGCUUUGACGGGUAGCCGGCCUGAGAGGGUGACCGGCCACAUUGGGCCUGAGAUACGGCCCAGACUCCUACGGGAGGCAGAAGUGGGGAAUAUUGCACAAUGGGCGGAAGCCUGAUGCAGCAACGCCGCGUGCGGGAUGACGGCCUUCGGGUUGUAAACCGCUUUCGCCUGUGACGAAGCGUUAGUGACGGUAAUGGGUAAAGAAGCACCGGCUAACUACGUG
Molecule: ribosomal RNA, 468 nt
Filed under: uncultured bacterium
Lineage: Bacteria
Description: partial 16S ribosomal RNA
Rfam family: Bacterial small subunit ribosomal RNA
Source: RNAcentral